GUGCUCACUUCGGCAGCACAUGUACUAAA
RNAcentral lists this small nuclear RNA (29 nucleotides) under Cervus elaphus hippelaphus. Lineage: Eukaryota; Metazoa; Chordata; Mammalia; Artiodactyla; Cervidae. The record is from RNAcentral.